AGAGAGGUGUCCGAGUGGUUGAAGGAGCUAGUCUGGAAAGCUAGUAUAUGGGUAACUAUAUCGAGGGUUCGAAUCCCUUCCUCUCUGCAA
This 90-nucleotide transfer RNA is filed under the name Flavobacterium johnsoniae. Its description in RNAcentral is "tRNA-Ser". It matches the Rfam family "tRNA". Rfam says of the family: Transfer RNA (tRNA) molecules are approximately 80 nucleotides in length. Their secondary structure includes four short double-helical elements and three loops (D, anti-codon, and T loops). Further hydrogen bonds mediate the characteristic L-shaped molecular structure. tRNAs have two regions of fundamental functional importance: the anti-codon, which is responsible for specific mRNA codon recognition, and the 3' end, to which the tRNAs corresponding amino acid is attached (by aminoacyl-tRNA synthetases). tRNAs cope with the degeneracy of the genetic code in two manners: having more than one tRNA (with a specific anti-codon) for a particular amino acid; and 'wobble' base-pairing, i.e. permitting non-standard base-pairing at the 3rd anti-codon position. Lineage: Bacteria; Pseudomonadati; Bacteroidota; Flavobacteriia; Flavobacteriales; Flavobacteriaceae. The record is from RNAcentral.